GCUCCCCGGCUUGUUUUGGUGGAGGCAUUAGAAAGCGUGAUGGUUUCAUCACAGCCAGAGAUGUCACGUCACCUCCCUAGCUGUAGACUGCUUCUCAGCACCUACUGCUGGCCUAUGCUGAUGCGUCUGCACUGAGAAGGCCUUGUCUCCUCUCUGAGGUCCUUCCCUUCUACAGGGGCUCUGUCUCUACAGCUUUUUGAUAAUCCUGAAGAGAGGAAGAUCCCUGCAAGGGGAAAAUAAGUAGAGAAGAAAAUGAGUUUAUUAAGGACUGAAUCAUGCAGCUCCAGAAUUCUUGGAACUUCUUGUCUGUUGUACAGAUCUAAAGAGGAACGUGGUUGCAAAAAGGAAAGCCUUCAGCUGCAGACCUGGGUUGGAAUUUGGGUUUAGCCAUUAGCUGUUUAACCUUGGGCAAUAAUAAUGAUUAAACUAAUAGCCACUGUUUAUUACUUAUUCUGUGCCUGGCUCUUUGUGUACAUCUUAACUAGCUCUCUUAGCCCUGGAGAGAGCUGUACCUUGUUCAGUAUCACAUAGCUGGUUAAUGGAGAAACCAGAAUUCCCACUGAGAUGUGAUUGCCACCUAAAUUCCUGAUCUCUUUUCUGUAUCAAGAUUCCUUAAGUUCUGUGCCCUAUAAUAUCUACAUAUAUAAGACGGAGACAUAUUAAUACUCCUAGAGAUGCUGGGAAGGAGAGAGAGGUUAUGUUGAGUUCAUGAUGUCUGGGAGGCCCACAGAAAUCCAGGAGGUUUUGAUCAGAGCCACAGUGAUUUGCGUAACCCCUGGCAUUUUUGUCUUCAUUGACUCUUUCCUCCUUAAGAAAAAUAUUGAAAGUUCUAUCCUAACACUGUGCUGGUAUAAAAGCAGAUAUAAUUAAGGGUGGGUUUUAUUACUGUUUUCUUUUACUAUAAUAAAUGUGAACACUGUGUAGGCCCUAGGCAUUGGGCGUACAGUGCCCAGUUAUAGAAGUCAACCUGUGUCAUCACAGGCUGACCAUCAGCUUCAGAGCCCUGUUUUUUUCCUUUUGUGAAUCAUGUUCCUGUUAUGGCCUGUCACUGAAAUAACAAAUUCUGCUCAGCAGGCAUUUAUGGGUGUGAGGGUGUAUUUUUGGGGAGAACAGGAAUCUGUCAUCAUUGGUAUUAGCUGGACAGAUAUUCUCAACAAUGGGUACUCACAGAGGAUGACUCUUGACUGAUUAGUUUACACUGUUUAUCAUUUAUGUUUUCUUACAUAUUUGACAUAUCUUACAACUUUAAAGCACUCCUCUUCAUAUCAAAAGCUAUUUGUAGUAAGGCCUAGAAGAGUUUCUUACUGUUGUUUUCUCUGCCGAUUAGAACUGGCAGCUGGUUUUGGCCCCAUGUGGUCCCCCUACCCCAGUCCUCUCCGGGUUGGAAGCUGGUUUUCAGGACAGCUUCUCCUUGCCUCGUACUCCUCAAAUCCACAACUGACUACAGCCGGCAUUUCUCGACUUUCAGAACGAAACUCAUGGGUUACUUCAGACUUCAUGGAUUUGGGCCCAGGCCACACGCCUAACCAGUUUGAUUGACUCAUUACUAGUUUAAUGACUUGGUGCUGGGCUGGCUUGGAUCACAAACUUCUCCAGGAAAGCCCUACUUGCAUCGUCUCAACACCUCAGCAUUUAAUAAAUUCUUAUUGAUUGAAUAAUAAAUGAGUGGCUGGCAAAGAACCAGCGGGUUAUGUCAGAGGUGCCAACAUGAUUAUGUUUAGACCCCAAUCCAUU
Dama dama (fallow deer) is the source of this 1734-nucleotide long non-coding RNA. RefSeq lists it as uncharacterized. Lineage: Eukaryota; Metazoa; Chordata; Mammalia; Artiodactyla; Cervidae. The transcript is spliced from 3 exons. The record is from RefSeq and is a predicted model, not a curated record.